Molecule: long non-coding RNA, 1206 nt
Organism: Homo sapiens (human)
Lineage: Eukaryota; Metazoa; Chordata; Mammalia; Primates; Hominidae
Source: Ensembl
AUACAGUCUGUCACUGACUGAAAUGUUAUUAUGUGCUGCAUGAACGCAUCUGUUAAAUGUAUAAACUAAAGAGUUGAAACAAAUCCCAUGUUUGGCCAAUGUAGAAUCUAAGUAGAAGGAAGACAUAGAACUAAAUUUUUCAUCCUUUUAUAACUACAAAUGGAUUUAAAUAUAAUAUUAAGUCUUCUGUUCACAUAGUACAUGGUUCAAAUGUACAUAGAAAGUACAUAUAAAUAUCUGGAGGAAGAUUAUUCCAGGUGGAGAGAACUGCAAGACCUUGUGGCAAGAAGGGGCUCAGCAUGACUGACAAAUAGCAAGAAGGAUGUCAGCUGUGGCACUGGCUACCUUGACACAUCUUCAUCUGAAGAAAAAAUACAAAGAAGGCCUGCCAUGAUGACAAUUUACUUCAUGAAGAGAACGGGUUCUGAAACGGUCAUUCUUUUCCAUUUAAACAAUGUUACCAUCUCCCAAAGAACAGCUUUGGGGUAGGAAAGAACAGUAUUUCAUUUCAAGCUGGACUACUCAUCUACCAAAAAACCAUUCUGACCAAAGAAACAGAUGCAGAAUUACAGUCACAGCUGCAUUCUGCACAGAACAAGUUGGAUAAUGGUAUUCUAAAUUGCUAAUUAUACUGUUAAUGAUUUUUUAAGUGUCAUUGCAGUACUUUGCCACCUUUGUUUAAAAAUUUUUAAAAAGCAUGUAGCAAGUUUUCUAAAUGGUAAAUUUCUGUUUUGUUAAAUACCAGCGUGUCUUCCAAAGAAAAAUUCCAUAUAAAACCCAUUUAUUGAAAUGGCAUUCAUAUGUGAAUUUGGAGGAGCCUACUUAUUGACUAGCUAUUUGUUUUAAUUUACUUUCUCACCAAUUUACCUGCAUUUAAGAUUACUGAGGUCAUAAGUAUCUCAGUAUUAGUGUUUCUAUCUAGAUCCAUAGUUGGUAUGAAAAGAUAAUAAACUAACAUAUGUCAUGAUAUGCUGGCACUGGGAAUGUGCUACAACUCAAUUUACAAAAAGUAAUGGCAACAGUACAAUUUAAUUUUCAUUGUGAUAACUGUGGUGCAAUUUAUUACGGUGUUAGUAUUAUGCUGUUUAAUCCAUGCCAGCAUAGCUGAGGAAGGUAAUUACAUUUUUGAUAUAAAAAUGCUACUAAUGUUUUCAUUUCAUUUUAGCAGAUUAUAGUAUGCAGAUUAAAAGUACUGCCAUUGUCCCA